This 577-nucleotide long non-coding RNA is filed under the name Elaeis guineensis (African oil palm). Its description in RNAcentral is "long non-coding RNA (EGUI_LNC032319)". The record is from RNAcentral. Lineage: Eukaryota; Viridiplantae; Streptophyta; Magnoliopsida; Arecales; Arecaceae.
CCACCAUCAUCAUCCUUCCCGGAUUCUUCCUCUCCCUCCCUCGCUUUCUCUCUCUCUCCCUCUCUUACGGUUGUUUGCUUUCCCUAGGACUGCCACCAUCAUCAUCGCUCCGCCUCCACCACCACCACCUUCCCUCUUUGAAGUCUAUCGGGCUGCAAUCUCUCCCUCUCUCUCAAGAUCUCUCAGGUAUGGCCCCUCUCUCUCUAUGGCUCUCUCUCUCUCACAAUCCAUCCUAUAGGUUGUCGCUGUCACUGUCGCUGCACUGCCAUCGCCGUCGCUACAUAGCCACCGCCAUUCGCACCCAUCUCGAUACCCCUCUCUCUCUCCCUCUCUCUAUGGGAUUUAUGGGGGGAGUCAAAAGAUUAGGGCAUGGUUUAUUUUAAAUUUUAUGAUUGUUAAGUGGCUACACAAAUCUAAAGUAAUAACUUUGGCAGUUCGCAGUGUUUUAAAUUUUGUUCUCCUUUUUUUAAUUGAUUUGAGUCGUUAGGCAUAAUUACGAUUAUUUGUUGCUACUCCUUAUAUGAAGUAUAGUUUGAGAUCUAAAAAUAAUUUAAAAAUAAAAGUAGAUAUAAUAAUA